This 471-nucleotide ribosomal RNA is filed under the name uncultured bacterium. RNAcentral's name for it is "bacterial SSU rRNA". It matches the Rfam family "Bacterial small subunit ribosomal RNA", at positions 335 to 798 of the family's 1533-position model. The record is from RNAcentral.
UGGCCUACGGGAGGCUGCAGUGGGGAAUAUUCCGCAAUGGACGAAAGUCUGACGGAGCAACGCCGCGUGAGUGAUGAAGGUUUUCGGACUGUAAAGCUCUGUUGUUUAGGACGAAAGUGCCUGUUGCAAAUAGUUACAGGUAUUGACGGUACUGAACGAGGAAGCCACGGCUAACUACGUGCCAGCAGCCGCGGUAAUACGUAGGUGGCAAGCGUUGUCCGGAAUUAUUGGGCGUAAAGAGCAUGUAGGCGGGAAUCUAAGUCUGUUGUGAAAAUGCGGGGCUCAACCCCGUAUUGCGAUGGAAACUGGGUUUCUUGAGUGCAGGAGAGGAAAGGGGAAUUCCCAGUGUAGCGGUGAAAUGCGUAGAUAUUGGGAGGAACACCAGUGGCGAAGGCGCCUUUCUGGACUGUGUCUGACGCUGAGAUGCGAAAGCCAGGGUAGCGAACGGGAUUAGAUACCCUUGUAGUCGAG